RNAcentral lists this transfer RNA (77 nucleotides) under Vibrio parahaemolyticus 10329. Its description in RNAcentral is "tRNA-Met". It matches the Rfam family "tRNA". Rfam says of the family: Transfer RNA (tRNA) molecules are approximately 80 nucleotides in length. Their secondary structure includes four short double-helical elements and three loops (D, anti-codon, and T loops). The record is from RNAcentral. Lineage: Bacteria; Pseudomonadati; Pseudomonadota; Gammaproteobacteria; Vibrionales; Vibrionaceae. RNAcentral also lists the same sequence under 1 other name.
CGCGGGGGGGAGCAGCUUGGUAGCUCGUCGGGCUCAUAACCCGAAGGUCGUCGGUUCAAAUCCGGCCCCCGCAACCA